This 301-nucleotide ribosomal RNA is filed under the name uncultured bacterium. RNAcentral's name for it is "partial 16S ribosomal RNA". It matches the Rfam family "Bacterial small subunit ribosomal RNA", at positions 509 to 807 of the family's 1533-position model. The record is from RNAcentral.
CAGUAGCCGCGGUAAUACGGAGGGUGCAAGCGUUACUCGGAAUCACUGGGCGUAAAGGACGCGUAGGCGGAUUAUCAAGUCUCUUGUGAAAUCUAACGGCUUAACCGUUAAACUGCUUGGGAAACUGAUAAUCUAGAGUAAGGGAGAGGCAGAUGGAAUUCUUGGUGUAGGGGUAAAAUCCGUAGAGAUCAAGAAGAAUACCCAUUGCGAAAGCGAUCUGCUGGAACUUAACUGACGCUAAUGCGUGAAAGCGUGGGGAGCAAACAGGAUUAGAUACCCCCGUAGUCCCUGUCUCUUAUAC